This 27-nucleotide ribosomal RNA is filed under the name Leersia oryzoides (rice cutgrass). Its description in RNAcentral is "partial 18S ribosomal RNA". The record is from RNAcentral. Lineage: Eukaryota; Viridiplantae; Streptophyta; Magnoliopsida; Poales; Poaceae.
AGGUGAACUGCGGAAGGACAUUGUCGU